GCACACCCCAGAAGACAUCUUCAGACCGGGAACCGCUGUUGUUUUUUGUUUUCUAAGGGUCGAUGGAUCGUUGUGGCUGUUCCCAAAACUUCUGUAAUCCUUCUAACCCCUUCCCUCACCCCCCACGGGACGAACCGCCACAAGAUGGCGGCGGCCACGUGGCGGGGGUCUUUGUCUCAUCACAAGAUGGACAAAGAAGCGCGGCGGGAACUCCUCCUUCCCAGAUUAGCAGGAUGUCAAUUUCUACAUUCCUGCUCCUCGUUUGGCUCCAGAAAAUGACCUUCUACCUGUCCACAGGGGAUGCAUGGAUCGUCCCUCAGCCACGAAAAAAUGUGUGGGUCGCCCUUGCCCAAGCCUUGAAACAAGAACACCUGUGUUUAGCCACUGCCUCAGCAGAAAAUUCAAUGUCCACAUGCCUGGUAGGGAUUCCAAGC
This is a long non-coding RNA of Vidua chalybeata, 434 nucleotides long. RefSeq lists it as uncharacterized. Lineage: Eukaryota; Metazoa; Chordata; Aves; Passeriformes; Viduidae. The record is from RefSeq and is a predicted model, not a curated record. The transcript is spliced from 3 exons.